UACAGAGGGGGCAAGCGUUGUUCGGAAUUACUGGGCGUAAAGGGAGCGUAGGUGGGUCUGUAAGUCAGUGGUGAAAUCUCCGGGCUUAACCUGGAAACUGCCAUUGAUACUAUAGGUCUUGAAUAUUGUGGAGGUUAGCGGAAUAUGUCAUGUAGCGGUGAAAUGCUUAGAUAUGACAUAGAACACCAAUUGCGAAGGCAGCUGGCUACGCAUAUAUUGACACUGAGGCUCGAAAGCGUGGGGAUCAAACAGG
RNAcentral lists this ribosomal RNA (253 nucleotides) under uncultured bacterium. RNAcentral's name for it is "partial 16S ribosomal RNA". It matches the Rfam family "Bacterial small subunit ribosomal RNA", at positions 524 to 776 of the family's 1533-position model. The record is from RNAcentral.